Long non-coding RNA from Pezoporus flaviventris, 1239 nucleotides. RefSeq lists it as uncharacterized. The transcript is spliced from 2 exons. The record is from RefSeq and is a predicted model, not a curated record. Lineage: Eukaryota; Metazoa; Chordata; Aves; Psittaciformes; Psittacidae.
UGCUGCUGCAAGGCAGGUUUGGGAGGCAGAUGAUGGCACAGAGGGGAGGGCACUGCAAAGCAUCUCCCAUCAAACCUUCCUCUUCAAACAGUAAACCUUAAAGGGGCCGUUGUGAUCACCAUCUGACCUUCUAACACACACCAGAGAAUUUCACCCUGCAAUUCCACCAUCGGAUCCUGUGACUAACAGGUGAAUUGGACCAAACUAAAUACAACUGCACAAUGCCACAUUCCUUUACAUCCAUCACUUUCCUCAGUGACUUGUUCAAAUGACUAAAGACUGCCCCAGCAGCAACCUGUACUUCUUUUUCCAUUUGACAUUAUCUGGUUUCAGCUUCCAAUCACAGACUCUUGUCAUGGCUUGUCUGCUAGAUUAAAGAACUUUAUCCUGCCAGAAAUCUUCUCUUGAGGACCUCCUGGUGUCUUCAUCUGAACCCCAUGCUGUUGCCUGAGAAACCAAAAUGCACAAGUCACAUGAUAUUGCCAUCAACCACCAUGUCUGGAGACUCCCAAAACAAGAGCAAGUAUCUCCAGCCAAUUUAUACAGCCCAAUUUAAAAGCAGUAUUGUGACAGUAAACACGUAUCUCGCUCCUACUGUGCUCACAGUGCACACAAAUGAUAAAUAGAUGAGAAGUCCAGAAACAGAAGCAACUGGAAUAUUAACACAGGACAGACUUUAAUUUACAUGUAAAUGCAACUUCUGAUCAUUAUUCAACUGGAAGGUCCAAGACAAGCCCCACACACUUUCUAUUCAAAGAGAACAGUGCUGUAUAAAACCACCAGCUUUCAUCACCAAAAUUAAAACCUUCCCUACAGCAAGGCCCAGUAGUUCUGCAAAAUCUGUUGGUCUCCUUAAAUUUACCCACAAGAUUAUCAUCUUUCAAGUAAUCCUGCAGCAAAGUAAGCUGGAUAAAACAACUGGGAGCUGACAGUUGAAACUUGGAGAGACUGGAAGCAGGCGAGAAGGCUGGAUGGUGAUUUGUGACGCCAGACAAGUUGAGUCAGAUCCUGAGAGGGAGUAAAAUGCAUUAAGGCUGAGGGCACUAUUAACUGGGGGCUGAGAGCACGUGGGAUCCCUAUUGGCUCUAACUGACUGCUUUGGAGCAAAGGGGCCCCUUCCUUCACAAGAAAAGUCAAGACCAGCAAAGCUGCCUUAGAGAGAACUUUCAGAUUUAAAAUAUUCAGCAACAUACCCAACCAUUCAGUGUCCUCUGCAAUUUUCCUCCCUUCAGCACCUUU